Molecule: ribosomal RNA, 205 nt
Filed under: uncultured organism
Description: partial 26S ribosomal RNA
Rfam family: Eukaryotic large subunit ribosomal RNA
Source: RNAcentral
UACAGGAUUCCCAUAGUAACGGCGAGUGCUGUGGGAAGAGCUCAAAUUUGGAAUCUGGCCCGAAGGGGUCCGAAUUGUAUUCUAGAGAGGUGUUGUGGCACACGGCGCAUUGCACAAGUGUCCUGGAAUGGACCAUCACAGAGGGUGAGAAUCCCGUUUGGGCAGUGCAAGGUGGGCAGAGGAGACACACUCAAAGAGUCAGUUU